AUGGAGACACAGGGCCGCAGACUGUUCAUCCGUCACCCGGGAGGCCGUUAGGGGCUCUCCGUCCACCCCAGCCGUAGAUCUCUUUUCCCAUCAGGCCUUCGGGUUCAGCGCGCCUUCCCAUCCCCUCUCGACCUAAAUACCUAAACCCUGCAGGGGCAUGUGCCGUAAUGCUGUGCCAGGAGUUGCUCCGCGUCAUGGAGGCCACCAACACCUGUCAUCCUCCCAUCACAGACAUGGUACCAGAAAUAGACCAGCAGAGUGGACGGGAAACACGUCGCUUACUGUUCAAAGCUACACGAGCGCCACUUCCUGGCCGGGACUCAGCCUUGACGCAGCUCCUCCAUCAAGUCACGUCUGCCCCUCUCAAACAACAGAGAACCGCCGGUGGUUUACUCACGGAGGCGCAUCCAGUAGUCGCGCACGCCGAGCAGCGCGCCGCACAGACCCAGAAGCAGCGACAUGACAAGGAAAGAGUCCGCGAGGAGACGUCGCGAGGAGCUACUCUCUGCCUCCUUUCCUUGUUCACUCUGGCGAUGUUGGAUCUUAUGUCAGGAUGUGGACGCGCCUUGUUCGCCCCCCUCCCCUCCCGACACAAACACUUUACAUCUCACCCAGCAGCGGGUGGGACGGGCCCGUUCAUCAGCAAAACCUGAUGUUAUAACUUUGUCUACUUCUGAUGCCGCACGUAUUAACGCCGAUAUUACAAUAGGGAUGUGAGGGUUUCUGGGGUAAAUAUAUACAUUUUAAAAUUAUUUUUCUUAGUUUUUGUAUUGCACCAGCUCAACAAGCCCCUCCCCCGCCAAUGCUCAUUUGCAUGACGCGAAAUUUAUAUACAGGAUAACGUUUGAGUUAAUACCUUUGAGAAAAGUUAAAUCCAUUAAUAAAAGUACCAAUUUAAAAUGUC
This is a non-coding RNA of Gasterosteus aculeatus aculeatus (three-spined stickleback), 904 nucleotides long. Lineage: Eukaryota; Metazoa; Chordata; Actinopteri; Perciformes; Gasterosteidae. The record is from RefSeq and is a predicted model, not a curated record.